CGGUGGGCUGCGUGCCGCGCGCGGUUGCGGGUCCAGCCCCAUCCCGGGGCUGCUGCGUGACCUUGGGAGAGCAGCUUUUGCGGAAAGAGGGAAUGCCGUGCCCCUUGGAGUGAACGGAUGCUCGUAAACCGCGAAGAACGCGCCGGGAGCAGACACAGUGGGGGACGACGCGGGCAUCUGCUGUGCGCCUGGCCUGACCCACGUGUUGUUGCCUAGGGAAAGCUAAUACUUUGACUCUAGUCAAUAUUAUUUAAAUGUUUCCUUUCGCCUGUUGAAGGAGAGGCAGAGUUCAGCUGCUGUCCCGCCGAUUAUGAGCCUGCCCUGAAGUAGAGAAUGAAAGGAUGGUCCCCAUUUCAACUGUCCUACCUGCUGUAAAUUCCCCACUUGGGGAAUGAGAGAGAGCUCAGCGUUUGUAUGCCAAGGCUCCAGACUUCAGCUUGAGGAUUUCCUCUUGGAAGCGCCACAGUUUUUCCCAAUUCCCCCGGGGGUGACCAUUCUCCAAAGCAGGGAACUAUCCCAACGGAAAGGAUUUAAGGAAGGACUGAACAUAGCCUGAAUUCAUUCGAAUGCAUUUUCUCUCUGGCUCUGAAGGACUUUCCUGCCCGGAUUUCCAGUCUACCUUAAGAGUGCAGGCUUCUAAAAUCAGGGAUGACACUUUCUCCUCAAUCAAAUAUUAGCUCAGUUGACAUUGGAGAGCAAUCAGACAAGAGAAUCUUCUCGUUAUUAAUAAUUCAGUUAUUUAGAAGUGACAUGUCCCUAGAUGCAAGUCCAGUGCACCAUCUGGCAGCAUAGCAGGGCCAUUCAUCUGAAGCUGCAGAGCCCUAGUGGUCUACCCAAACCCUGAAAGACUGGCUCAUCUGGAUUCCAUUAGCAUCUGUACCUCCUCCAUCAGAGCACUGAGCAUAUCUUGUUGCAUGCACAUGGCAGGUGUGAAAAGACACUGCUCAGAUGCACAGUUGCUGUCCUGCUAGGCAUAAUGCUUUAGUAAAGCCAAGGCCAUAUGUCCCUUGGGCUGCUCCCAGUCAGGGGCUAAACAUAGUGGAGGUGUGAAACCAGGUUCAUUGCUUUUACACAUGAGAUUGCUCUGUUGAAAGAUGUGGCAACCAAAGUAUAUAGAGAAACUCACAGCUCCACAAUAGGAAAGCAGAAAAUGGGCCCAAAAAAUCUGAACAGACAUGUCACAAGUAAGUCAGCUAUGCACGGCAGAUAAGUACUUGAAAAGAUAUUUAACAUCAUUAGUUUUAAGAAAAUGCAAACUAAAACUAUAAUGAGAUACCAUUACAUGCCUGUUAGAAUGGUUGAUGCUAAAAAUGCUCAAAAGACCAAGUUUUAGGGAGAUGGAGCAAGUGGACCACUCAUGCACACUGCUGGUGAGACAGUUGAACGAUGCAGUCAUUUUGGUGAUAUACCCAUAUAGAUUGUAUGACUCAACCAUUCCGCUCUUACAUAGUGACGUGGGAUAAAAGAAAGCACAUGCCCAUGGAAUGCUCAUAGAAGCCUUACUUGUGACAGUCAAAAACUGGAAACAUAGGACACAAAAUCGGUAUUAAACAAUCAAUACCAGUAAUGAACUAACAGAGAAAGAAAUCAAGAACACAGCCCCAUUCUUAACAGUUUCCAAAAAACAUGACAUAGUAUUAUGGUUUAUAUCUAGAUGUCCCCAGAGAGCUUCAUAUACUUAUGGGUGGGGCUUUUCAGAGGGGAAUGGAUUAUGAAAGUUUAGAGCUCGGUUAGGUUGCAGGGUC
Long non-coding RNA from Fukomys damarensis (Damara mole-rat), 1745 nucleotides. RefSeq lists it as uncharacterized. The record is from RefSeq and is a predicted model, not a curated record. The transcript has 5 exons. Lineage: Eukaryota; Metazoa; Chordata; Mammalia; Rodentia; Bathyergidae.